CACACACCCUCACCCCCAAAUUGCUCCCUGCUCUUCCACAGCCAGAACCUAGCAUCCAUCAAAAGGGGAGAGGACACGUUCUCCUGUGUUCAGGUCAAGGGUUACAGCAACACCAAUGGGCUUUAAGUUAAUGAAUCACAUCACGUUCCCCCAAAAAAUAAGAAGCUGGGGGUGGGGAGCUAGAGAGAAGGGCCUCUGAAGCGAAUGGAGUGGGGGGGAAGGGCGUUUCCUUGUGGUAUGCCGCCGUAAGCCUCUCCCCUAAAUGCUUCCUCUUUGCAUUAAAAACAACACCCUAUACAAGCAGCUAUAGGAUCCCUUUCCUCUUUGCAAAUUAGUCACCCCGCCCCCAGGGCCCAAACAAUAACAGUUUCUCCCGACGGUGUGACGCCUAUGAAAUCAGCCGCUUCUCUCCACUGGCUUGUGCUCCUCUAUAGAUGGGGACUGGUAGGUUAAAAAAACAACAAAAAAAAGACGCGUCCCCAUUCUACAGAUGAGGGACUGGCUGGCCCUGGACAGCCCAGGCUGUGUGCCAAGGAUCCAAUCUCCACCCCCAGUACCUAAGCCCUGAGGCGGCACCUGAUACUCCAAAAGCAACAAAUAUUUAUCAAAUGCUUAAGCAGGGUGCAGGUGCCGUCAAGGGGAGCAGCGUGGUAGGAAACCCUACAAGAACAUGGAGAUUUCUCCGGGCAGCCAAUGUGAAGAUGCUUCUGGGAGGCUUCUUCCGCUGCUACCCACCCCAGUGGCUGAAUGGCCAGGAGAUGCAGCUGACCCAGAGCCCCAUUUCCAUGCACACCUCCCACACACCGCUCCUGAACAAAGCGAGGCCCAGGCAAAGCCACCUGUGCCCCGAGGACACAGCUCAGGGCUCAGCCCCACACAGCCGGCCAGCACUUUGUCACUCUGAGGAGCACCGAGACGUGAAGGAUCCACACGCCCUUACCCUGAAGGAUGGCACCUGGGGCUGAGGGGGAGUCCAGCCCUAGAAGAAAACCUUCCACUGAGAAGUCUUAAGCCUUAACUCAAAUCGUGGGGGGCCAGGGAAUGGGGCCAUAUAUAAUUUUUAAAAUUAUCAGUGAGGAAAGGACUAGUGCUAAACUGGCCUUCUCCUUGGGGUGGUGGCCAUUAAGCAUGAACAGUGAGCCCUCCUCUCACACACAGCCUCCAGAGACACUGAAUGCUCAUCUCCCUUGACUGUGAAGAGCUGGGAUAUGUGUGUACAAACACACACACACACACACACACACACACACACACACACACGGCGUUUCAUCUUUCAUUCUGUAAAGAUACCCAGGUACAUAAAUAUUAAUCAGACACAGAACUGGUCUUUCCUCUCGGCCCAUUCUGAAGGCAUGGUUGUGAUCUUUAACCAUAUUUACAGAUAUCCAAAGACAGUUUCUGUCUUGUUGGAACUGUCAUAAAUGGACGUCUGAGAAAUCCAGGAGCAAGUUCGGGCAGAGAGAAACCCUUCCUAUCCAGGAUUGGCGGGUUUCCGUUCCAGGGAACGACUUACUGCUCCCCAAGGCUUUUCAACAAAUAAAUUGACAAGUACCUUCAGACUCCACCAGAAAAGCCAGUUGCUCCAAGUUUGGAUUAGCUAAACUUGUGCGUUUUGGUUUUUUUGUUGCGUUUUUUUCCCCCUUUUGAGGAUCAACUUUCUCUCAAAAUGCCAGGAAGGCAUUGUUGACACAGGACCCAGAGAGGGCAGAAGGCGCAGCCCAGUCAAGCCCAAACCUUAAGUACACAUGAACGAAUUGAUUCAGUCUACCUCAGACUUAUUUCUGAGUAAUAGAGAGCAGAGAAUUGGGACCAAUCCUAUGUUGCAAACGAUGUCUCGGGUAAGGUAACAGCCUCAUCUUCCACAGGCAAGCAACACGUUUUUUUGAGUACCAGCUCCGAAGAAAUGUUUCACCACUGUUUUUUCCAGCUCCUGGAGAGCUUCAACUGUGAGGCCGGAUUUUUAAGAUAAAGGACCGGAAUUCUAUCUAGCUAGGUGGCAUUUGCAUACAAAUUCUCUCUAGGGGUUUGAUAAGAGAAGUAGCAAAGGUUGAGGAGGGGGCUAACUCCAUUCCUAAUAAUUCCAUGCCUCCCCUCCCCCGAAUCCGGUGACGGGUUCCAUUACAGCACAAUUGAGAAAACUUUUGUCCCCGAGUGUUUCCAGGUCACAGCCCCAAGAUUCCCCUCUGAAACAGCAGGUCCUGCUCUCCCACUAUGGGGAAAGCCUGACCCGCAGGAACUCAAGCUUGCAGGAGGGAACUUAGGCCCCUGCCUUCCGGUCUCACCUGGAUCCUUAGGCCAAGGGUGCAAUCAACGUGCACGGCGAGGAGGGCGAGCAGGAAUGGCCGGAGGAGGACCUGGAGAGUCCCAAGGCCCGAAAGAAAGCUGCUCAUCGGAGGUCCCCAGCCAACUCAGCAGGGCCGGGGGACGGUCACCAGCAGCCAGGGAGGCCCGGGUGUAAACACCAAGGUGUAGGUGUGCCUUGUGCCGGGCUAGAGCACUGCGCAGCCGGCUCCAAGGGAGGCCAUUGUGUUCUCCUGCUGAGUGAACUGGUGUCAGUGGACCCAAACUUCCAAGUGCCCUCCAAGACGACGGUCUGAAGAUGCAUACCACGUGGAUCAGGCCAAGAAGCACAGUAACAGUCCCCUCUUCUUGGAGUCUAGGAAGGACCAGAGGCCGGGUGGGGGAAGGGCUGCUGCGGCCAGAGGCGGGAAAGGAGAUGGGUCUCUUAAGCUGCAGGUUCCAGGCGCAAGGGAAAUUGCAUUAGUGGUGCCUUGUGGCAAGAGCCUGAGGAGGUUCAAGGUCAGAAUGUAGAAGAUUUUGAUGUCCAUCCCCACCCCAGAUGACCCUCUUAGGCCUCAAAAGCACCCUGAAACCUUUGGGACCACUACCACAACCAAGGGCCACUUUCCAGACUCCUGCACUGCAGUAUACAGAUCCCGACCUCCUUUGCGAUUCGAUAGACUCUGUUUACGAAAAUCACUUUUUUCCCCAGAGCAAAGGCCAGGUCAGGAAAAUUACAUGCCAUUUUCCCCCUUCCCAGCGAAUAAAGUCGCCUGGUUUGCAGGGAAAGUUUUACAAGCCAAUGAUGCAGGGAAGACCGCACUGUUUGGGUCCCUUAAUUGGCUCGCUUUGAACUCGGGUGGGGGUGGGGCAGACCCGACUCCCAAGAAAGAAUUCAGUUCUGGUCUAGGACCCUGCGACUGGCUUUCCAGCUAUGAGGUGGGAAAGGGUUAAGGGAGGACCACUUCUAUUUCUUUUUAAGGGAGAAGGAUCCUGACCCUUCCCAGCACCCUAAACCCAGGGUGAGGUUAUGAGGUCCAUAACCUCAAGGGCCAUCUCUAACUGGACCCCUACCCUCUAUAGAAAUCUGAUCUGUCUUGGAAAAACUGAAAGGAAGCCACUCAGACAGUUCGAGGGAAACCAGGUUUAUUCUUCCUGGACGCUAACUAGUGUGUCAUCACUGGGGUGUAACCCAGGCACUGGGGCUAUAGCCAUUUUACAUGGCUCUGCAUUUAAGGGCUGAUCCCUACACCUGCAGUUGCCCUGUCCCUGUAAGGUCAUGCUGACAACCUGAAAGUCAUUGAAACCGGCCCCUGGCUCUAGCCCCCAGAUGACAGCUCUGUUGACAAAUCCUUAGGUAUGGCUGUUUUAGACUGGAGGUUUGCCCUGGCUGGGAGGCACAUCUAAAUAGUUUACCACGGGUCUAAUCCAGGAGUGUAGGGUCCAGGUCCAGGUAUUAUGUGGGAAGCCACAGAUGCCACCCCAGGUCUGAGGCUUACCAGGAGGUCUAACCUUUCCCUCCCCCGGACUGGGGAUCCAAGACUCUGUUUAUGAAACACCCCCCCAUAUAAUACUAACACCCCUUCUCACAUUUUAGCUUAGAAGGUGGGGAGCCAGAGAGGGAAUGGGCCUAAUCAAGGUCACACAACAAGAAUACUCCUUCCAGGUCUCAGAUCCCUGCCAUCAGUUUGACCCUCCUCUCCCUGGACCUCACCUGAUGGUUCUGAUCAGUUGGGGCAACACAGGCAGCAGUGGACACAUAACCACUGAUAAGUAUAGAACAGGUGAAGCCACUGUCCUCCAGGCCCCACUUCCUCUCUGAACGGCCUCCAGUAGACAGCACCCAUGGCCCAACUAGGAGCAAAAAGCCUGUCUGUUACCUAACUUAGUUAAGACCCACUGGGUCCCGCAGGAGAAGUCCGCAGUGAGGACUCCUUCCCGGGCAGGGAUCAGAAGCCAGGCUUCAGUGAACCACCCACAGACUUAGGCCCUACCCUGGCUAUGCUGCCUCUCCUGCAAAAACGAAAGCAGUGGCUGAGUUUAGAGGACAGAGAUCACACGCAGAACCAAGAGUCAAGGAGGACCGCAUCUCUGCUUGCUUCCCCCGUCCUAGGUAGAGGGGGGUUCGAGUUAACUCCUGCUGCACGUGUUUACAGGAUUUAAUGGAGGCUUAAUCUUUACAAGGUCCUUGGAAAUAGUGCUACACAGCACACACUCGACAGGCAUGCGUUAAAUUAAAAAUCCAGCAACAGAAGCCUCAACCUUCAGUGGAAAGAUAACCCAGGAGGACAGGAGGAGUGGCCAGGCUGUCCUGUUUGCACAGUCAUGAGCAAACACACACACACACACACACACACACACACACACCAGUUUUGUAUAAGACUAACAACAGUGCCAUCAACAAACCCUAUCACAUACUAUCAAUAGAUAGAUAGAUAGAUAGAUAGAUAGAUAGAUAGAUAGAUAGAAUCAUACUCUAGUCAACUGCUAACUACUGACAGAUAGACAAACAAACAAAAACAAUAACAGACUGAGUGGGAUUAAAUUCUCCCUACAGCCAAGUUUCUCUCUCUCUCUUCCCUCUCUUCCUUCCUCAAACGCUUCUCUAAGACUGGGCCAGUAAGCACGGGCCAUCCAGCAGACAAAGAUACCCACCUAAAGGAGGGGGGACUACCCUUCUAACAGCCCGAUGCUUGCACAAUCCAGUAAAAUGUUGGACCGCUGCUGAGAACUGAGGCCGUGCCUGUCACAGCUCUGGUUCUUACAGCUCACGAGCUGUCACAGGUGAAAUGGGACCCUCCCUGGGAGAUAAGUAGCCCCCCGGGGCAGUCUGUCCUGACUCGGGAUCACAAGAGCUAAGUUCAGACAAGCGACCAAGCCUGUGGUAGCCCUGUCUGCUCUCCCAGUGUCACCUCUGGUCCUGUAACAACAGCUCCUGGUCUAGGGGCUGGGUGUACAGAGAUGCAGUAUCAAAUAAAAUUCACAGUAAACUGUCCAUCCCGGAAGGCGGCGCAGAUCAUCCAGUGGUACAGGGGGGCCGAGACUCCCGGAGGCGUCUAGAUUUGCUCAAACCCUCACGGUUCCACAAAAUAAAACAAAUGAUUUGUGGGGCGGGAAAUAACUUCAACAAUGAGUAUAAAACAGAAAUAAAACGUUGUCAUGAGUAAAAUUCAAACAAACAAACAAGCAAAAAAAAAAAAAAAAAAAACCAUUUCCAGCCUAGUCCCAUGGAAAUUCACACCUCACGGCUCCCUCAGCUGCCACCUGUCUCUCUCCAAAGCCUUCACAGGCAAGGGUCAAGUUUUAGGGGCCUGAGGAUUUUUGGCUACAUCCAGACUUCGGCAUGGGAUUCAAAUGUCACCCCAGAUGGAGUACAGAGGUACUGUCUGCUGCCUACCAGGUCUGCCAGCCAAACGACAGACUUCCCUCUCCCUAAAGACAUCUACCCAGGCGAGCCAGGCCAACCCGGUCUCAUCCCCUUUGAUGUGUGCCGGUGGCAAGUCCUUCAAUGUCUCAUAGAACGUUCAAAGCCCAAUUCAGUAUAGGAUUAGCUAUAUCUAUUCGGAGGUUUGACAUUUAAGCCAGGGAACCCAGAAAGCACACGGAGGAGAAGAGACAGGCAUGACCUCUGUCUGGACCACCCAGUAGACAUCCCAUCCGGAACCCCGAAGUCAGGCCACCAGCACCCAACCCCCAACCUUCACCCUGGGUUCUGUCCCUCGGACGGGAAGAAUAUGGGCAGACAGAACUAAUAAUUAGUUGUCCCUAUUUAACAGUAAGAAAGAGAUAAUCCACUCCACGGCAUACAUGGAUUUAGCCCAUCUUAAUUUGGAAGGGAAAUAACAAACUCCAAACAGAUCAAAUGCAAGUGUUCUGAGGCGUCCUGCAAGUGGGGUUAUCUCCAGUUCCCAGCACAAGCCACUUAUUUUCUUUCCCGAAUAUCCCAAGUAACGUCUUCGUUUUUCACGAUGAAUUUUCUGUACAGCCUGCAGCAGAGUAUCCUCAGAGCAGCGUGUAAAUUGUGGGGCUCACCAGGACCCCGUUCAGAAACUCCACGGCAGUGAGUUUCUAAGACCAUAAACCAAGCCCUGUCUAUACAAGGGUUAUCCAGGCUCAUCCUGGGCCCCUGCUCGGGCUUCUAACGAAGACACACAUGGGCAUCAGGCACACAUAGCACAGUGAUAGCCACCUGUCGCCUCCAAACUGGGGGUCUGCCACCUCCUGUCACUACUACCCUAAAUCUCAUAUUUCGGAAACCUGACAUCUGAGGUUAGCGGAGUGUUAGGUCUCAAACCCAGGACAACUGGCUGAGAUGCCUGUUACCUAUCAAAGUAGACUCUGGACUCCAGGUUCUCCCAGCAUCCCUCAGUCCCUACCGUUAUAGGGUUCUCCUAGCUUGUAUCGCCUUACCCUAAACUUCAACUAUCCAGGGUCUGGACUGGGCCUUCUCCUCCCCCAGCUUCUCUGGCCCUAUAUAACUGGCUAUGCCAGUCUCUUGGCCCAGGCUACCCUUCUUGGUUGAUGGUUCUUCUCUCUCUUCAUAGCCUGCCUUGGUCUAGUCAGGUUCUCUCUAGACUUUCCCAGAUGUAUCUAUCUCUGCGUGUUUUCUCUCUCAUAUCUAUAAUAAGCCCCUUGGGAUCAGCCAUGUCCUCUUUUUAUUGUUUUUUUCUUCAUUGAGAGAGAAGGAAGACAGCUGAGAGAGCAGACUCUUCCCUGCUGGGCCUCCUUUUGGGUGUGGACAAGGUGAUAACAGGAAAAAGCAAAUUUCCUUUGGAGGCCAUCUAAGGAAUUUCUAAGGAGAACGAAGAAUCCACGUGUGAGAGCCGGACUCCGCUCCAAGACUGAGAGAGUAGGAUUCCCAUUACUGCUAAGCCUGGCCCAUGCUCUCCUGUGCUCCCCCACCCCACCCCAGUCUGUCUCUGACUUGACCUGCCCUAUGUGCUAUAUCACUCCAUCCUCUGCAGGAUGCUAAAGAGCAGCCGCAGGAGGCUGGGAAAAUAGUGAUUCACCCUCAGACCAGAAAGGUGCCUGGAUUCAGUCCAGGGGACACCAUGGCCCCCAUCCCCUUUGCAGGGUGAGGUGCUGCACAAGUGACACAACGUGACACUAGACAGAGAGGUGGACGUGAACCCUCACCAUCUCCCCCCUGCCAUUGUAUCUGGUGUGUGAGUCUCAGAACACAGUUGAUGCUGCCACAGCUCUCUCAGGGAGCCAUUCCUAAAGCAAAGAAAAAGUGUAGGGCUGGACGGCAGAUUGCUAUGGUGGAGGACCUAAGGAUUGCUAUGGUGGAAGGAAGACCUCAGGUGAUUGGGGUUGUGUGGGUGGGGGUGGGGGCAAUAUGUGCACUGCACGUGUGCACCAUGCCAGUGCUCUCCCCUUCACCAGGAAGCCACAUGAAGGCUACAGUCAUCCUUGGCUGCACUCACAGAUAAGGAAGCUGACUGAGUAGAGCAGCUUUACGUCCUGCCUUUCCCACACAGCCUCAGACCCCAGACGAGUGAACCCCGUCCUCCGUCACUCCCCUAGACAAUCCCUCAGCAAAUGCUGUUAUCUCCUCAUCCCUGACCCAGGUCAGUUUAGGAGAGCGGACCUAGUGCCUGAGCGAAGUUCCUAACAGAGGCAGGGAGAGGCCACAGGAAGGAGUCACGAGGGACACACACACAGCACCUCCAUGAGCGGGUGUCAUCAUAGGCACCCCUUACAUUCUUGAGUCAGACCUCCAGCCAUGAGCUUUAAUUCUAAUCACCCCGUCCCUAGGCAAGCCUUGAAAUCAGCUACCAGGGACCUCCUCUUCCGUAGCAGGGGAGCAGCAAGAAGGUCCCACCAACAGUCAACAUCAAGGAUAACAUUCCCUAUGAGAGACACCCUCCCCAGGGAAACAGCAUAGGUGUUCAGUGAAUGGAUGGAUGAAUGGAUGAAUGAAUGAAUGUCCUCCCCAGGGAAACAGCAUAGAUGUUCGGUGAAUGGAUGGAUGGAUGAAUGAAUGAAUGAAUGAAUGAAUGAAUGAAUGUCCUCCCCAGGGAAACAGCAUAGGUGUUCAGUGAAUGAAUGAAUGAAUGAAUGAAUGAAUGUCCUCCCCAGGGAAACAGCAUAGGUGUUCAGUGAAUGAAUGAAU
RNAcentral lists this small RNA (8395 nucleotides) under Rattus norvegicus (Norway rat). RNAcentral's name for it is "uncharacterized LOC103692702". Lineage: Eukaryota; Metazoa; Chordata; Mammalia; Rodentia; Muridae. The record is from RNAcentral.